Molecule: long non-coding RNA, 288 nt
Filed under: Homo sapiens (human)
Lineage: Eukaryota; Metazoa; Chordata; Mammalia; Primates; Hominidae
Description: non-protein coding LINC02056:39
Source: RNAcentral
GAAAAGUUGCUAAAGAAAGAGAAAGGGAAGCGGUUUGCUCCAGUAUUCCUCUUUCCACCUUCCCACUGACUGGGAAGCGGCGGUUAGCAGAGCCACAGUCUUGGAUUAGAGAUAAGAGGGACAUGUUGAGGAAGGUGGAGUCUCCCCCACAGCCCUGGACCAGGCUCCAGUGCCAACAAAAGCCAAGAAGAACCUCUGGAGCAAUCAGUCUUACGGAAUCCCUGUAUUCUAGGAUUUGGCAAGCUGUCCACUGAAACAUUAUUUUUCCCAGCCUUCUUUGCAGAGGUG